This 299-nucleotide ribosomal RNA is filed under the name uncultured Pseudomonas sp. RNAcentral's name for it is "partial 16S ribosomal RNA". It matches the Rfam family "Bacterial small subunit ribosomal RNA", at positions 1080 to 1382 of the family's 1533-position model. Lineage: Bacteria; Pseudomonadati; Pseudomonadota; Gammaproteobacteria; Pseudomonadales; Pseudomonadaceae. The record is from RNAcentral.
UUAAGUCCGUACGAGCGCAACCCUGUCCUUAGUUACCAGCACGUAUGGUGGGCACUCUAAGGAGACUGCCGGUGACAAACCGGAGGAAGGUGGGGAUGACGUCAAGUCAUCAUGGCCCUUACGGCCUGGGCUACACACGUGCUACAAUGGUCGGUACAAAGGGUUGCCAAGCCGCGAGGUGGAGCUAAUCCCAUAAAACCGAUCGUAGUCCGGAUCGCAGUCUGCAACUCGACUGCGUGAAGUCGGAAUCGCUAGUAAUCGUGAAUCAGAAUGCCACGGUGAAUACGUUCCCGGGCCUU